RNAcentral lists this ribosomal RNA (1195 nucleotides) under Acinetobacter baumannii. Its description in RNAcentral is "bacterial SSU rRNA". It matches the Rfam family "Bacterial small subunit ribosomal RNA", at positions 15 to 1210 of the family's 1533-position model. Lineage: Bacteria; Pseudomonadati; Pseudomonadota; Gammaproteobacteria; Moraxellales; Moraxellaceae. The record is from RNAcentral.
GAUCCUGGCUCGAUUGAACGCUGGCGGCAGGCUUAACACAUGCAAGUCGAGCGGGGGAAGGUAGCUUGCUACUGGACCUAGCGGCGGACGGGUGAGUAAUGCUUAGGAAUCUGCCUAUUAGUGGGGGACAACAUCUCGAAAGGGAUGCUAAUACCGCAUACGUCCUACGGGAGAAAGCAGGGGAUCUUCGGACCUUGCGCUAAUAAUGAGCCUAAGUCGGAUUAGCUAGUUGGUGGGGUAAAGGCCUACCAAGGCGACGAUCUGUAGCGGGUCUGAGAGGAUGAUCCGCCACACUGGGACUGAGACACGGCCCAGACUCCUACGGGAGGCAGCAGUGGGGAAUAUUGGACAAUGGGGGGAACCCUGAUCCAGCCAUGCCGCGUGUGUGAAGAAGGCCUUAUGGUUGUAAAGCACUUUAAGCGAGGAGGAGGCUACUUUAGUUAAUACCUAGAGAUAGUGGACGUUACUCGCAGAAUAAGCACCGGCUAACUCUGUGCCAGCAGCCGCGGUAAUACAGAGGGUGCGAGCGUUAAUCGGAUUUACUGGGCGUAAAGCGUGCGUAGGCGGCUUAUUAAGUCGGAUGUGAAAUCCCCGAGCUUAACUUGGGAAUUGCAUUCGAUACUGGUGAGCUAGAGUAUGGGAGAGGAUGGUAGAAUUCCAGGUGUAGCGGUGAAAUGCGUAGAGAUCUGGAGGAAUACCGAUGGCGAAGGCAGCCAUCUGGCCUAAUACUGACGCUGAGGUACGAAAGCAUGGGGAGCAAACAGGAUUAGAUACCCUGGUAGUCCAUGCCGUAAACGAUGUCUACUAGCCGUUGGGGCCUUUGAGGCUUUAGUGGCGCAGCUAACGCGAUAAGUAGACCGCCUGGGGAGUACGGUCGCAAGACUAAAACUCAAAUGAAUUGACGGGGGCCCGCACAAGCGGUGGAGCAUGUGGUUUAAUUCGAUGCAACGCGAAGAACCUUACCUGGCCUUGACAUACUAGAAACUUUCCAGAGAUGGAUUGGUGCCUUCGGGAAUCUAGAUACAGGUGCUGCAUGGCUGUCGUCAGCUCGUGUCGUGAGAUGUUGGGUUAAGUCCCGCAACGAGCGCAACCCUUUUCCUUACUUGCCAGCAUUUCGGAUGGGAACUUUAAGGAUACUGCCAGUGACAAACUGGAGGAAGGCGGGGCGACGUCAAGUCAUAUGGCCUUACGGCCA